This 352-nucleotide unclassified non-coding RNA is filed under the name soil metagenome. Its description in RNAcentral is "partial contains 5.8S ribosomal RNA, internal transcribed spacer 2, and large subunit ribosomal RNA". The stretch from base 1 to 120 matches the Rfam family "5.8S ribosomal RNA", at positions 35 to 154 of the family's 154-position model. The record is from RNAcentral.
GAUGAAGAACGCAGCGAAAUGCGAUAAGUAAUGUGAAUUGCAGAAUUCAGUGAAUCAUCGAAUCUUUGAACGCACAUUGCGCCCGCCAGUACUCUGGCGGGCAUGCCUGUUCGAGCGUCAUUACAACCCUCAGGCCCCCGGGCCUGGCGUUGGGGAUCGGCGGAGCCCCCCGUGGGCACACGCCGUCCCCCAAAUGCAGUGGCGGUCCCGCCGCAGCUUCCAUCGCGUAGUAGCUAACACCUCGCGACUGGAGAGCGGCGCGGCCACGCCGUAAAACACCCAACUCUUCUGAAGUUGACCUCGAAUCAGGUAGGAAUACCCGCUGAACUUAAGCAUAUCAAUAAGCGGAGGA